AGUGAACGCUGGCGGUAGGCCUAACACAUGCAAGCCGAACGGCAGCACAGUAAGAGCUUGCUCUUACGGGUGGCGAGUGGCGGACGGGUGAGGAAUACAUCGGAAUCUACUUUUACGUGGGGGAUAACGUAGGGAAACUUACGCUAAUACCGCAUACGACCUACGGGUGAAAGCAGGGGAUCUUCGGACCUUGCGCGAUUGAAUGAGCCGAUGUCGGAUUAGCUAGUUGGCGGGGUAAAGGCCCACCAAGGCGACGAUCCGUAGCUGGUCUGAGAGGAUGAUCAGCCACACUGGAACUGAGACACGGUCCAGACUCCUACGGGAGGCAGCAGUGGGGAAUAUUGGACAAUGGGCGCAAGCCUGAUCCAGCCAUACCGCGUGGGUGAAGAAGGCCUUCGGGUUGUAAAGCCCUUUUGUUGGGAAAGAAAAGCAGCAGGUUAAUACCCCGCUGUUCUGACGGUACCCAAAGAAUAAGCACCGGCUAACUUCGUG
Molecule: ribosomal RNA, 492 nt
Filed under: uncultured bacterium
Lineage: Bacteria
Description: partial 16S ribosomal RNA
Rfam family: Bacterial small subunit ribosomal RNA
Source: RNAcentral